UGGGGAAUCUUCCGCAAUGGACGAAAGUCUGACGGAGCAACGCCGCGUGAGUGAAGAAGGUUUUCGGAUCGUAAAACUCUGUCUUUUGGGGCGAACGUGAGUAUGGUGAACAAUCAUAGUCGGUGACGGUACCAAAGGAGGAAGCCACGGCUAACUACGUGCCAACAGCCGCGGUAAUACGUAGGUGGCAAGCGUUGUCCGGAAUUAUUGGGCGUAAAGAGCGCGUAGGCGGGAUAGUCAGUCUGUUGUAAAAGUGCGGGGCUCAACCCCGUGAUGGCAAUGGAAACAGCUAUUCUUGAGUGCAGGAGAGGAAAGUGGAAUUCCCAGUGUAGCGGUGAAAUGCGUAGAUAUUGGGAGGAACACCGGUGGCGAAGGCGACUUUCUGGACUGUGUCUGACGCUGAGGCGCGAAAGCCAGGGGAGCGAACGGGAUUAGAUACCCCGGUAGUCCUGGCCGUAAACGAUGGGUACUAGGUGUGGGAGGUAUCGACCCCUUCCGUGCCGGAGUUAACGCAAUAAGUACCCCGCCUGGGGAGUACGGUCGCAAGACUGAAACUCAAAUGAAUUGACGGGGUCAUAGCUGUUUCCUG
RNAcentral lists this ribosomal RNA (589 nucleotides) under uncultured bacterium. Its description in RNAcentral is "partial 16S ribosomal RNA". It matches the Rfam family "Bacterial small subunit ribosomal RNA", at positions 355 to 1376 of the family's 1533-position model. The record is from RNAcentral.